UUAUUAAAAUGAAAUCUGCUAGAAAUGAAAAACCUUCAGAUAAUCCACUCGUCUGAGAAAGCUCUUUUCUGCUGGUGCUCUUGCUUAACAACAAGGAUAUAUACUGUUCUGACUUAGAUCGAUUGAGGAAGUUUAAAGAUUUAAAGGCAAAAUGCAGGUUUUCAAGAAUUUCUUCGCUGUUGCUAUUUUACUAGUCGCAGUGAGUGUCACAAAUGCUCAAAAAGCUAAAUCUCCACCAGCACCACCAUCAGCACCAGGUCCAGCGCCAGACUAUGAGACUACUAGCUGCAUAUCAGCAUCAGAUUGGGUUAUCUUGCUGAAAAGUAAUAAGGAAAGGUGUCGAUCGUCCCGUUUAUGAAGCAUGCCAAACAUCUCCUUGGCUUGAUACGAUCCAGGGGUGCCAUGGGUAUUUGUUCCUGGGAUUUUUUUGCUCUCGAAAGACUUUGCAGUUGGAUCACUUGACUUAACAACGAUGCCACCAGAAUCGUCCGGUGGUCUUAGAGUGUAGGUGCAAAACUAAGAUGGAACUGAAAGAAGGAUAGAGUUAUUUCCUAUAUUUUUUGGUUAUUCAGCGAUUGCAAUGUAAUUCAAAUUUGGAGAUAUGGGUUCGUGCUAUUCACUGUGCACUAUACGUAUUUGUUGCUUGAAAAAACAUGUACUUGAUAAAAUGAUCUUUGGUAAUGAAUAUUCUUAUAUACUGCCCACUCAAUUCUUCCAAAUAGUUGAGGGUGGCAGCAAAUAUUCCAGAAAUACAAACUACUUGAAAACUUUAUGAUA
Papaver somniferum (opium poppy) is the source of this 777-nucleotide long non-coding RNA. RefSeq lists it as uncharacterized. The record is from RefSeq and is a predicted model, not a curated record. Lineage: Eukaryota; Viridiplantae; Streptophyta; Magnoliopsida; Ranunculales; Papaveraceae. The transcript is spliced from 4 exons.